RNAcentral lists this ribosomal RNA (821 nucleotides) under uncultured archaeon. Its description in RNAcentral is "bacterial SSU rRNA". It matches the Rfam family "Archaeal small subunit ribosomal RNA", at positions 52 to 879 of the family's 1478-position model. The record is from RNAcentral.
UGUGAGUCGAGAGUCUUCGGGACUCGGCAGACGGCUCAGUAACACGCGGAUAAUCUGCCCUUGGGUGGGGAAUAAUCUCGGGAAACUGAGCAUAAUACCCCAUAGGCCUGAGAUGCUGGAACGCCCUCAGGCCAAAAGCUCCGGCGCCCAAGGAUGAGUCUGCGGCCUAUCAGCUUGUAGUUGGUGUAAAUGACCAACUAGGCGACGACGGGUACGGGCAUUGGGAGAUGUAGCCCGGAGAUGGACUCUGAGACACGAGUCCAGGCCCUACGGGGCGCAGCAGUCGCGAAAACUUCACAAUGUGGGAAACCGCGAUGAGGGGAUUCCAAGUGCUUGCGUUUUGCGUAAGCUGUUCUCCUGCCUAAAAAGCAGGGGGAGUAAGGGCUGGGUAAGACGGGUGCCAGCCGCCGCGGUAAUACCCGCAGCCCAAGUGGUGGUCGAUAUUAUUGAGCUUAAAGCGUCCGUAGCCUGUCUGGUAAAUUCUUGGGUAAAUCGUGCAGCUUAACUGUCCGAAUUCCGGGGAGACUGCCAGACUUGGGACCGGGAGAGGUUGGAGGUACUCCUGGGGUAGGGGUAAAAUCCCGUAAUCCUGGGAGGACCAUCAGUGGCGAAGGCGUCCAACUGGAACGGAUCCGACGGUCAGGGACGAAGCCCUGGGUCGCGAACUGGAUUAGAUACCCAGGUAGUCCAGGGUGUAAACGCUGCGGACUUGGUGUCGGAGGUCCUACGAGGGCGUCCGGUGCCGGAGAGAAAUUGUUAAGUCUGCCGCUUGGGGAGUACGUCCGCAAGGAUGAAACUUAAAGGAAUUGGCGGGGGAGCAC